This 468-nucleotide ribosomal RNA is filed under the name uncultured bacterium. RNAcentral describes it as "partial 16S ribosomal RNA". It matches the Rfam family "Bacterial small subunit ribosomal RNA", at positions 28 to 507 of the family's 1533-position model. The record is from RNAcentral.
GACGAACGCUGGCGGCGUGCUUAACACAUGCAAGUCGAACGGAAAGGCCCUGCUUUUGUGGGGUGCUCGAGUGGCGAACGGGUGAGUAACACGUGAGUAACCUGCCCUUGACUUUGGGAUAACUUCAGGAAACUGGGGCUAAUACCGGAUAGGAGCUCCUGCUGCAUGGUGGGGGUUGGAAAGUUUCGGCGGUUGGGGAUGGACUCGCGGCUUAUCAGCUUGUUGGUGGGGUAGUGGCUUACCAAGGCUUUGACGGGUAGCCGGCCUGAGAGGGUGACCGGCCACAUUGGGACUGAGAUACGGCCCAGACUCCUACGGGAGGCAGCAGUGGGGAAUAUUGCACAAUGGGCGGAAGCCAGAUGCAGCAACGCCGCGUGCGGGAUGACGGCCUUCGGGUUGUAAACCGCUUACGCCUGUGACGAAGCGUGAGUGACGGUAAUGGGUAAAGAAGCACCGGCUAACUACGUG